This is a long non-coding RNA of Octopus bimaculoides (California two-spot octopus), 2051 nucleotides long. RefSeq lists it as uncharacterized. Lineage: Eukaryota; Metazoa; Mollusca; Cephalopoda; Octopoda; Octopodidae. The record is from RefSeq and is a predicted model, not a curated record.
GUAAAGUUAGCAUUAACAUGUACAUACAAUGCUGUCAGCAUGAAAAAAUUUAGUUCUAUAAAGACAACAUUAACUCAAUAAUCCUUAUAGUAGUUAAGGGAGAAUGUGGGAUAAGAUUCUUGUUUCUCAACUACAUUGUUCUAGGUUCAGUCCCACUGUAUGACACCCUAGACAAGAGUUUUCUACUAUAGCCCCAGAUCAACCAAAGUCUUGUGAGUGAAAUUAGUAAAUGGAAACUGAAGAAGACCAUAGUACACACACAUAGUGCAAGCAUAACUGUGAAGCUAGAAGUUUGCUGCUCAAGCACAUGGUUCCCAGUUCAAUUCCACUAUUUCAACCACCCUAGAAUCUCCAAGGCCAUCCUCAUACACCAAAAGAAUUCAACCAUCAACAGCAGAAGAGAAGUUACGGGAAGCUAGCUGGUUGCUGUAGCAACAACUUUCUGCACAUGUCCACUCCACACACUCACACGUCUGCAAGAUUCAUUAAUUUCUUGAGGAUGGGGUCAUAACCCUGAAAUAUUGAAUGCAAGUCAUUUGACUGUGGCCACGCUGGAGCAACACCUUUAGUUGAAGACCAUACUGUCAUGUGAAGGCCUGAAGGCCAUAGCGUAAUGUGAAGGCCAUAGUGUAAUGUGAAGGCACAUGAACAAAAGAACACUGAAGAAGAAAAACAACUUGAAAAAAUUGGUAGUGGCCUGUACCAGCAAAGAAUGUACAGUGAAAUUCAUGUAGAAUGGAGAGAAUGGGAAUCUGAUGCUGCAAGAUAGUUCUUUUGUAGUAGGACUUAUUCUUUGUAAGCCUAGUACUUAUUCUAUUGGUCUCUGUUGCUGAACCGUUAAAUUAUGGGAGUGUAAACACACCAACAUCUGUUGUAAAGCGAUAGUGGGGAGACAAACACAGACACACAAACAUAUACGCACACACACACACACACACACAUAUAUAUAUACAAAGGGCUUCUUUCAGUUUCCGUCUACCAAAUCCACUCACAAGGCUUUGGCUGGCUGAAGGCUAUAGUAAGAGACACUUGCCCAAGGUGCCAUACAGUGGGACUGAACUCAGAACCAUGUGAUUGAUAAGCAUGUGGUUAGUUAUCUGUACAGGUUUUCUGUAGAAAUUAUAGCCAGCACUGACAUGUUAUGAUGUUUCAUAUCCAAGUAUGCCUAAUGUAAACAACAAUGAGAUUGAAGAUGAGAAAUGGGUAAUGGGUGUAUAUGCUAUAUUUCAGGAGUUCUUACUCCUUCAUCAACAACACAUCCAACCCAUUAACCAUCCUCAAACUCAUUUCUUAAAUAGCCACAAAAUAUUGCGAUCUAAUAUUAUUGGGUCUACCAAUUUUACACAUCAAACACAUUCCUGGCAGCUGGUAUGUAGAUAUUGAUGACUUGUGAUGCUGACGUUCUAGCCAGGACCAUUUCACCUUUUUUCUUCCUGUUUUACUGGUUAUAGCUUAGCCAAAGUCUCAAGGCUGCUUGGACUAAAGAAAGAUUAACCCACAACCCUUAGGCUAUCUCCAGACCAGAUACUUGGUCCAAAUACCUGUUACAAAGUACUGAAAGCCCAGUUAGUGGUGUUAAACUGUGUGAGCGCUUAAGUCUACUGCCACAGAACAUGUACAGAUGACCUGACUUCUGGAUGGGCUUCUGUGCAGUUUACAUCCAAUUUCAUUCACAAAGCAUUGGUUGAUCUGCAGUUAUGGUAAAAGACAUUUACUCAUGGUGGCAUGCAGUGAGACUGAACCCAGAAUGUUAUGAACAUGAAGCAAACUUCUUAACUUCAGAGCAUGCCUGCAUCUAAAUCUACUAGUUCAGUGGGUCCUUCCUUUUUUUUUUAAGACAUUGUGUGAUUGUUGUAAAUGAAGGUUAUUCAUUUUCAGUCUUCUGCAAAACAUGCCUAGCCAUGAGGAAAUAUUACCUUGUUUGGAAACAAGUAAGGGUUAGUGACUGGAAGGGCAUCUGGUCAAAGAAAAUCUGCUUCAAUAAACUCCAUACAACCCAUGCAAGCAUGGAAAAGUGGAUUUUGAAACAAUAAUGAUGACAGAGUGGAACU